UUGACCUCGGAUCAGGUAGGAAGACCCGCUGAACUUAAGCAUAUCAAUAAGCGGAGGAAAAGAAACCAACAGGGAUUGCCCUAGUAACGGCGAGUGAAGCGGCAACAGCUCAAAUUUGAAAUCUGGCUUCGGCCCGAGUUGUAAUUUGCAGAGGAAGCUUUAGGCGCGGCACCUUCUGAGUCCCCUGGAACGGGGCGCCAUAGAGGGUGAGAGCCCCGUAUAGUUGGAUGCCUAGCCUGUGUAAAGCUCCUUCGACGAGUCGAGUAGUUUGGGAAUGCUGCUCAAAAUGGGAGGUAAAUUUCUUCUAAAGCUAAAUACCGGCCAGAGACCGAUAGCGCACAAGUAGAGUGAUCGAAAGAUGAAAAGCACUUUGAAAAGAGGGUUAAAUAGCACGUGAAAUUGUUGAAAGGGAAGCGCUUGUGACCAGACUUGCGCCGGGCGGAUCAUCCGGUGUUCUCACCGGUGCACUCCGCCCGGCUCAGGCCAGCAUCGGUUCUCGCGGGGGGAUAAAGGCAUCGGGAACGUGGCUCCUCCGGGAGUGUUAUAGCCCGUUGCGUAAUGCCCUCGCGGGGACCGAGGUUCGCGCAUCUGCAAGGAUGCUGGCGUAAUGGUCAUCAGCGAC
This 622-nucleotide ribosomal RNA is filed under the name Chaetomium madrasense. RNAcentral describes it as "eukaryotic LSU rRNA". It matches the Rfam family "Eukaryotic large subunit ribosomal RNA", at positions 1 to 648 of the family's 3401-position model. Lineage: Eukaryota; Fungi; Ascomycota; Sordariomycetes; Sordariales; Chaetomiaceae. The record is from RNAcentral. RNAcentral also lists the same sequence under 1 other name.